UGUGAACCGAACAUGCCUCAAAAACAC
This 27-nucleotide non-coding RNA is filed under the name Homo sapiens (human). Lineage: Eukaryota; Metazoa; Chordata; Mammalia; Primates; Hominidae. The record is from RNAcentral.